RNAcentral lists this ribosomal RNA (1270 nucleotides) under uncultured soil eukaryote. Its description in RNAcentral is "SSU rRNA". It matches the Rfam family "Eukaryotic small subunit ribosomal RNA", at positions 13 to 1189 of the family's 1831-position model. The record is from RNAcentral.
CCUGCCAGUAGUCAUAUGCUUGUCUUAAAGAUUAAGCCAUGCAUGUCUAAGUUUAAGCGCGUUUGCACCGCGAAACUGCGAAUGGCUCAUUAAAUCAGUUAUAGUUUAUUUGAUGAUACCCCAAAAACUACUUGGAUAACCGUAGUAAUUCUAGAGCUAAUACAUGCCAAAAAAUCUAACUGCAAAUUUUUUUGCGGAAAGAUUGCAUCUAUUAGAUACAAAAACCAACGCGAUCGUGAUCUCAGCAAUGGGUUUUGCGGUCGCUCCAGAGGUGAUUCUAGAUAGGGUGCGAAUCGCAUGACCUUUUAGCGUCGGCGAUGCUUCAUUCAAAUUUCUGCUCUAUCAGCUUUCGAUGGUAGUGUAGCGGACUACCAUGGCCGUAACGGGUAACGGGGAAUUAGGGUUUGAUUCCGGAGAGGGUGCCUGAGAAAUGGCAACCACUUCCAAGGAAGGCAGCAGGCGCGCAAAUUACCCAAUCCCGACACGGGGAGGUAGUGACGAGAAAUAACAAUGUGGGGUCCGACAAGGAUUUCACAAUUGGAAUGAGUACGACUUAAACAGCCUAACGAGGAACAAUUGGAGGGCAAGUCUGGUGCCAGCAGCCGCGGUAAUUCCAGCUCCAAUAGCGUAUAUUAAAUUUGCUGCAGUUGAAAAGCUCGUAGCUGAACUUCGGUGAAGUGGGGACAUGGUCUGCCGGGAUGGUGUGUACUGGUCCUUCUUCACUUCUUUGUGGAAAUAAUAAUUGUCUCUAUCUGCACUUAAUUGAGUGGAUAGAAGACUCCACAUCGUUUACUUUGAAAAAAUUAGAGUGUUCAAAGCAGGCCACUUUUUAGUGCCUUGAAUACAUUAGCAUGGGAUAACAGAAUAUGGCGUCAAAAGAGAUUUUUCAUCGAAUCUCUUUGUGCUCGAUUUUGUUGGCUUUCUUUACCCAUUGAGCAUCGCAAUGAUUAAUAGGGAUGAUCGGGGUGGUUUGUAUUCAAACGCGAGAGGUGAAAUUCUUGGACCGUUUGAAGACAAACUUCUGCGAAAGCAUUCCACAAGGGCGUCCUCAUUAGUCAAGAACGAAAGUUGAGGGAUCGAAGACGAUCAGAUACCGUCGUAGUCUUAACGGUAAACUAUGCCGACCAGGGAUUGGAGGUCGUUACGUGGAAGACUCCCCCAGAACCUUGUGAGAAAUCAUUAAGUCUUUGGGUUCUGGGGGGAGUAUGGUCGCAAGGCUGAAACUUAAAGGAAUUGACGGAAGGGCACCACCAGGAGUGGAGCCUGCGGC